AACAGAUUCAGACUAAAGCACGUGCCUGACAAUGUGUCUGCUGCAUUGCAUGAGGCAGCCUUGCUGCAGCCAACCAUAGUGGGUGCCCUUGUAGGUCCAAUUAAGAGGCUUAAUUGAAGAAUUCCAAGUUAGCAGACUGUCCUGGCACUCAGAGGAUAUUGUGCCUGGUAAUGAUAGUGUUGAAUUGGACAGAAAGAAUAUU
RNAcentral lists this long non-coding RNA (202 nucleotides) under Homo sapiens (human). Its description in RNAcentral is "HSALNT0328647". The record is from RNAcentral. Lineage: Eukaryota; Metazoa; Chordata; Mammalia; Primates; Hominidae.